Molecule: non-coding RNA, 24 nt
Filed under: Arabidopsis thaliana (thale cress)
Lineage: Eukaryota; Viridiplantae; Streptophyta; Magnoliopsida; Brassicales; Brassicaceae
Source: RNAcentral
GAUUAUCUUUCUUGUCGUCAGUCC